CGGGGAGGGAAAAUGGCUAAUUGGGCCCAAUUUGGACAUUUUCAUUUAGGGGUGUACUCACUUUUGUUGCCAGUGAUUUAGACAUUAAUGGCUGUGUGUUGAGUUAUUUUGAGGGGACAGCAAAUUUACACUGUUACACAAGCUGUACACUCACUACUUUACAUUGUAGCAAAGUGUCAUUUCUUCAGGGUUGUCACAUGAAAAGAUCUAAUCAAAUAUUUACAAAAAUGUGAGGGGUGUACUGACUUUUGAGAGAUACUGUAUACAAAAAUGUAUUAUUAUUUCUGGUGUACACAUUAGUAACAAGGACUUGACGGUGGACGAGGCAUCCCUGUCGAGGCCGCUGGUAUCGAGUCCAACUUGUUUAUCGAUCAAAAACCUUGACAAGUAAUUUACAAUUAGACACCUCAGGUAGCAUCAUAACAUACCGGAACAACAAGCACGGCAAGUUCACUCAUAAAUCUUUUAAUAUGUACAGGCCACAUUGUACAACUGAAAAAUGUCUUAUCAAAAACUCCAUCACAACUUCUUACAGUGUGACAAACAUUUGAAGUAAAAUUAAAUAAAGAAGAAAACAAAACAACAACAACAAAAAAAAACAUUUAGGAAUCAAAACUAUUGAAGAAGUCCAAACUAGGAACCAACACGACUUUCGUUCUGUGUAAAACUGAGUAGAUAUAAAAAAAUAAAAAAUAAAAUAAACAGGAGAAUGCCAAAUAAAUACUGUACAAGCAAAAGUACUGUGAUGAUGAAUCCCACCUGCGGCCCCGAAACGUUACUGACGGGACAGGAAGUGGAACGUUGUAGUGUGGGACAGCUGUGACGGGGCUUCAUUAAUGCAGUAUCUCGUUGUGGGGGACACACAACUCAAAUUCAUGCACACCAUCGUUCCAACAGUACAGGAACACACACUUUGGCUGGAGUACUGUUUGGAUACAUUAGCACCAUAAUAAAUAAAGGUUUGUUUGUUGAUAAGCAUAAUCAUGUAUUAAAGCCUCAAUUAGCCUGUGACGUCCGGAGAGACUCCAUCCUGGAUGAAUCAUGGCAUUGUUUUUUUUGUUUGUUUUUUUUCCAUCGACUUGUGAACAGGGGUUUGAGAUCUUGCUUUGACUUGUAGAUCCAACACCUCUGAAAGCUUGGGUUGGUCAAAACCUGUGUGUGCAAGUCCAUCCAAAUAAAGAACAAAAGCUGUGUGGUAAAAACAGUCACAUGAGCCCUGAGUGUUUAUGAAGUUCAGUUUGUUUUGAGAAAACUGGAAAACGUGAAAUACCUGGAAGCUUUUGGGAGUCUUAUUGCCUGAAAAAGUUUAAGAAAAUCUUCCUGAUAAAUACUGAUCAAAUGAAGACGGUUGAAUGGGAGGACUGUUUCCGUUGAACGCAGACAGAACACACACUGCCUCGUGUCUCUGCACACUCCAAUGACGUUGUCAGGGCAGAGUAUAGCAUCACGAGGGACGAUGAAAAUGGACUUAUUGUCCUUAUUUGGCAUACAAAAACAGGGCCUUGAGCUUGAGCCUGACAAUUACCCGAGGUUGUUCAGACUACACGGAAACAGAGCAAACUGACAAAACACACACGUAUACACACAAUAACGUGAAGUUGUAAUAAUAAUAAUAAUAAUAAUAAUAAUAAUAAUAAUACAAACUAAAUCCACACACGUUGUUGGUUGCGGUUGCAAAACCUUUUUUUUCCCUCCUCACACAAAUUAAGACACGUCUUAGAAAAAUAAAUACUCUUGUAAUUCUUUGUAAAAAUGAGUAGCCAAAUCCAAUUCUAUGACAAAAAAAUCUAAAUCCCCACUUUCCUCCCUGCAUUAUUAUACCAAUCAUCAAUGAAACAAAAGUUAGUCUUAAUUGUUUUUUUAAACGAUACUCAGCACCAGUUCAGACAGUGUGUGUCUCUCCAUUCACUCGAGCUUGAUGAGCCAGCAAAGCUUAUACUGUUGUAGAGGGGAGAGAAGAACAGGAAUGCAAACAUUAAAAUAGGGAACGUUGUUAAUUUGGCAGCAACAUCAACGUGAUGUUAAGAGAAGUCGUCCCCAGGAUGAGAUUGAGUAUCGAGCUUUCCUAACUGGAUCUAUAUAUAAUUUUUUAAAAAUAAAAUAAGAAAAAGCGCUAUGCAGCUCUCAUUAUAAACGCAGAGAACAUAUGCAGAGGUGCCAAUACUUCUGACAAGCACAUCCAAACACGCAACGAAACUAAUUUAACCAAACCUCAGUGUGUAUCGGUGAACAAGUCAGCAACUCGUCUCCGUGCCAACAGCGGAAAUGAGAAAACGUCUGAAGUGGAUUGAAGCGAUACAUAGUUACAGAAAUGUUGGGAUUUUAUAAUUUUAUGUCUCUCGUAUUGUACAUCUUAAUAUACUCCAGCUAAGAUAUUUACUUAUUUGGAGACAUUUGUAGAGCUGAGCAUCAAGUACAUCGUAUAUUCCUUUCAAUAAGAUGUAUAUAUUGUAUGCUACACUAUACGAAGUACUACAUUCAUAAAAAUGUCAUCUUGGCAAGUUGCUGUGGUGUAAGAGGAAAUUUGUACGAUGGAGAUUUAGGGCCACUGUUUAAAAAAUAAAAAUACAAGAUUACGAGAAUCAAGUCGUAAUAUUAUGAGGAGCAUGCUAUUUUGAGAUAAAAGUCGUAAUAUUUGUAAUAUUUCAAGAAUAAAGUCGCAAUAUUUCGAAAAUAAAAGUCGUAACAUUUCGAGAAUAAAGUCCCAAUACAAAAAAAAGUCACAUUAUUUGAGAAUAAAGUCGUAAUAUUCGUAAGAUUUCGAGACAAAAGUCAUAAUAUUUUGAGAAUAAAGUUCUAACAUUUAUUUAAAAAAUAAUAAUAAUACACAU
Long non-coding RNA from Ictalurus punctatus (channel catfish), 2831 nucleotides. NCBI's taxonomy places the organism in Eukaryota, Metazoa, Chordata, Actinopteri, Siluriformes, Ictaluridae. The record is from Ensembl.